GUCACUACGUGGCCAGGUGCUGCGGGGGGCUGUAGGGUGGGGGGGGUUAUGGGAAUUGGCGGGAGGCAAGCGGGGGCAGGCGGGUUGGGAAGGCGUGGGGGAAAGCCCCGGGCUUAACCGGGGAACGGCUGUUGUGGCUGCCAGGCUAGAGUACGGGGGAGGGGGGUGGAAGUCCACGUGUAGCAGUGAAAGGCGUAGAGAUGUGGAGGAACACCAAUGGCGAAGGCAGCCCCCUGGGUCGAUACUGACGCUCAUGCACGAAAGCGUGGGUAGCAAACAGGAUUAGAUACCCGUGUAGUC
Molecule: ribosomal RNA, 300 nt
Filed under: uncultured Pyrobaculum sp.
Lineage: Archaea; Thermoproteati; Thermoproteota; Thermoprotei; Thermoproteales; Thermoproteaceae
Description: partial 16S ribosomal RNA
Rfam family: Bacterial small subunit ribosomal RNA (bases 68-300)
Source: RNAcentral